This 243-nucleotide long non-coding RNA is filed under the name Linum usitatissimum (flax). RNAcentral describes it as "long non-coding RNA (LUSI_LNC000492)". Lineage: Eukaryota; Viridiplantae; Streptophyta; Magnoliopsida; Malpighiales; Linaceae. The record is from RNAcentral.
ACACUAUCAACUCCUAGCAAAGCAUCCUAACAACAUUCACAUCAACAGUUCAACAUAUCAUAUAAUGAGUUCUAACAUAGUAAUCACCUAGAUCAGCCAGUCGUUGCUUCCUCCCAGUGCCGGGAGGCCGUCCUCUACGUUUAGAAGGGCUCAUUGGAUCUCCUUCUGAAGAAGAUUUUUUAGGCUUUAUCAGCAAAGGAGACAAGCCAAGUGAGACCUGGCCAUCUGGGGCAUACUUCCUAG